GAAGUCCUCGUGUUGCAUCC
This 20-nucleotide small nuclear RNA is filed under the name Arabidopsis thaliana (thale cress). RNAcentral describes it as "snRNA_03928". The record is from RNAcentral. Lineage: Eukaryota; Viridiplantae; Streptophyta; Magnoliopsida; Brassicales; Brassicaceae.